This 794-nucleotide long non-coding RNA is filed under the name Sorghum bicolor (sorghum). RNAcentral describes it as "long non-coding RNA (SBIC_LNC014064)". The record is from RNAcentral. Lineage: Eukaryota; Viridiplantae; Streptophyta; Magnoliopsida; Poales; Poaceae.
AUGUCCCGAUAUAGAUAAUCUUGAAGUAAUUCUUGAUUCUUAGAUCAACUAGAGAACUCUCAGGAAACUUCCUCUCUUCCCACCAAAAAUAUUCAUAUAGUUAUCCUUGGGCAAUCUUGGAUCUUAAUUAGUACACUCACGUUCCCUGUGGAAAAUCGAUACUCUGGAAUACUCCCGGAUGAAGGCUACAUCGGUAUCCGUGCGCUUGCGGAUUUUUCUGUUUGCGUUUAAAAUGCCCAACAAGCUUUCUGGCGCCGUUGCCGGGGAACGGUAGCUGUGCUAGUUUCGAACCAAGUCGUCCGUGUAUCCUUUUUCUUUUCUUUUUUUUACCACACUCACCUUAUUAUUUUCACCAUACCACAUGGAUUUCACUCUAAGCAUUAAUGAGCAUGGAAUUUAUUUCAUAGCCACUUCAUUUACUCCAUGCUCAUAUGCAACAUCUUCACAAUCCAUUGGUCUCUCCAACAUCACCACAUUCGAGAUCUCCAACCCCCACUUCCUUUCUAUUUAUAAAAACUUUAAAAGGGCGGUUGUCGAUGCAUAUGUCUAUAAUAAAUUUUGCAGAUCUCGUUGAGUUGAUCUUGAUAUAAGUCAGCGUUGGAGCGGAAACCACUUCGCCGACAUAAAUUGAGGGUUUCCCAAGGACAAGCUUAGUGUCCUAAAACAAGCACUGAUCAGAUCGUAACAUGAGCUUUUAAUUAUUUGCAACAUUACCUUGUGUAUUGAGCAUAUAAGGAUAAUUGUAAAAAAAUUCCUUCGGUUAUUCUUGUCACUAACCUUUCUAGGAUUGGAGC